AGAGUUUGAUCCUGGCUCAGGACGAACGCUGGCGGCACGCUUAACACAUGCAAGUCGAACGAGAGAAGAGGAGCUUGCUUUUCUGAUCUAGUGGCGGACGGGUGAGUAACACGUGAGCAAUCUGCCUUUCAGAGGGGGAUACCGAUUGGAAACGAUCGUUAAUACCGCAUAACAUAAUUGAACCGCAUGAUUUGAUUAUCAAAGAUUUAUCGCUGAAAGAUGAGCUCGCGUCUGAUUAGCUAGUUGGUAAGGUAACGGCUUACCAAGGCGACGAUCAGUAGCCGGACUGAGAGGUUGAUCGGCCACAUUGGGACUGAGACACGGCCCAGACUCCUACGGGAGGCAGCAGUGGGGAAUAUUGCACAAUGGAGGAAACUCUGAUGCAGCGAUGCCGCGUGAGGGAAGAAGGUUUUAGGAUUGUAAACCUCUGUCUUCAGGGACGAAAAAAGACGGUACCUGAGGAGGAAGCUCCGGCUAACUACGUGCCAGCAGCCGCGGUAAUACGUAGGGAGCGAGCGUUGUCCGGAAUUACUGGGUGUAAAGGGAGCGUAGGCGGGAUCGCAAGUCAGAUGUGAAAACUAUGGGCUUAACCCAUAAACUGCAUUUGAAACUGUGGUUCUUGAGUGAAGUAGAGGUAGGCGGAAUUCCUAGUGUAGCGGUGAAAUGCGUAGAUAUUAGGAGGAACAUCAGUGGCGAAGGCGGCUUACUGGGCUUUAACUGACGCUGAGGCUCGAAAGCGUGGGGAGCAAACAGGAUUAGAUACCCUGGUAGUCCACGCCGUAAACGAUGAUUACUAGGUGUGGGGGGACUGACCCCUUCCGUGCCGCAGCAAACGCAAUAAGUAAUCCACCUGGGGAGUACGACCGCAAGGUUGAAACUCAAAGGAAUUGACGGGGGCCCGCACAAGCAGUGGAGUAUGUGGAUUAAUUCGAAGCAACGCGAAGAACCUUACCAGGUCUUGACAUCGUAUGCAUAGCUCAGAGAUGAGUGAAAUCUCUUCGGAGACAUAUAGACAGGUGGUGCAUGGUUGUCGUCAGCUCGUGUCGUGAGAUGUUGGGUUAAGUCCCGCAACGAGCGCAACCCUUACUGUUAGUUGCUACGCAAGAGCACUCUAGCAGGACUGCCGUUGACAAAACGGAGGAAGGUGGGGAUGACGUCAAAUCAUCAUGCCCCUUAUGACCUGGGCCUCACACGUACUACAAUGGCUAUCAACAGAGGGAAGCAAAGCCGCGAGGUGGAGCGAACCCCUAAAAGCAGUCUUAGUUCGGAUUGUAGGCUGCAACCCGCCUACAUGAAGUCGGAAUUGCUAGUAAUCGCAGAUCAGCAUGCCGCGGUGAAUACGUUCCCGGGCCUUGUACACACCGCCCGUCACGCCAUGGGAGUCGGUAACACCCGAAGCCUGUAGUCUAACCGCAAGGAGGACGCAGUCGAAGGUGGGAUUGAUGACUGGGGUGAAGUCGUAACAAGGUA
Molecule: ribosomal RNA, 1470 nt
Filed under: metagenome
Description: bacterial SSU rRNA
Rfam family: Bacterial small subunit ribosomal RNA
Source: RNAcentral